Molecule: ribosomal RNA, 489 nt
Filed under: uncultured bacterium
Lineage: Bacteria
Description: bacterial SSU rRNA
Rfam family: Bacterial small subunit ribosomal RNA
Source: RNAcentral
CUACGUGCCAGCAGCCGCGGUAAUACGUAGGUCCCGAGCGUUGUCCGGAUUUAUUGGGCGUAAAGCGAGCGCAGGCGGUUAGAUAAGUCUGAAGUUAAAGGCUGUGGCUUAACCAUAGUACGCUUUGGAAACUGUUUAACUUGAGUGCAAGAGGGGAGAGUGGAAUUCCAUGUGUAGCGGUGAAAUGCGUAGAUAUAUGGAGGAACACCGGUGGCGAAAGCGGCUCUCUGGCUUGUAACUGACGCUGAGGCUCGAAAGCGUGGGGAGCAAACAGGAUUAGAUACCCUGGUAGUCCACGCCGUAAACGAUGAGUGCUAGGUGUUAGACCCUUUCCGGGGUUUAGUGCCGCAGCUAACGCAUUAAGCACUCCGCCUGGGGAGUACGACCGCAAGGUUGAAACUCAAAGGAAUUGACGGGGGCCCGCACAAGCGGUGGAGCGUGUGGUUUAAUUCGAAGCAACGCGAAGAACCUUACCAGGUCUUGACAUCC